Non-coding RNA from Potamilus streckersoni, 76 nucleotides. The record is from the annotation of a GenBank genome assembly. NCBI's taxonomy places the organism in Eukaryota, Metazoa, Mollusca, Bivalvia, Unionida, Unionidae.
GACUCUCCGGUGGCUUAGUGCUUAGAGCGUCCGUCUCUGAUGUGGGAGGUCGCAGGUUUAAACCCAGGCCGAGUCA